Molecule: long non-coding RNA, 979 nt
Organism: Homo sapiens (human)
Lineage: Eukaryota; Metazoa; Chordata; Mammalia; Primates; Hominidae
Product: long intergenic non-protein coding RNA 1191
Source: Ensembl
GAAGCCGGGAGGUGAAGGCCGCAGUAACGCUGUUCCCUGCAUUGGAUGAAGUGCUCCCCACCAAACUCUCUCACCGGAGAGGGUGGGAUCUGCGGGCUCCCUGGGUGGCUUGAUUUCGACACCCUGUGGGCUGCCUUCCACUCUGGUACUUUCCUCUGCCUGCUGAUGCUUGAAAUUCCUUGAACCGGCCACACACACCUGCUUUCUGGAAUCAGAACACUGGAAAGGCUUCCUGGGACGGGAGAAGAGUGAUUUACAUUCCUGCCGAGGUGUAAAGCUGCGGAUGGCAGGUUCUCUCCUGAGAACCGGCUUCAACUAGGAGGAGGAGGUUGGAAGCAGGACCCCGAGCUGACCUGUUGACCAGGAGAGGAGUGAGAGUUCCUUGAAGCUUCACUGCAAUUCCCCAGCCACAGAGUGUCUGAAGACUGCUGCAGGUCCAGUUUGAGUUGCUUUUACUCUCCAGGAACACACAGAUGUGACUAAAAAAAUCUGCAUUCCCCUAAAGUAACAACAUUCAUGCUACUCCAGAGACCCAGACAAAGGGGAAUUAAGCUUGCUUGAACUUGAGCCUGGGGACCAGGAUGCUGAUGGAGGCUUUGCAGAUUCUUGGGUCUCCAUGGAGACGAACAGACUCUGGCAAAAUUUCCUUCUUGGGAGAAAGGCAGUGUUGGCUGCUUUCUUUCCUCUGGCCACCCUGAGAAUGCAAGACUCAUAAAAGUGCUGUGUAUAGAUUCUCUGCAGACACGGGGCCAUUUUGUACCAUUUCUGGCCUCUUCAGAGCCCUUCUGAAGUGCUCUCUGGCAUCCAGCAUCCAGGGUGUCCAGCUGCCUCCACAAACAGCAAGAGCUCAUCAGUAAUGGGUGACACAAGUCACACAACCAAGAGCCAUGUGUCUGGUUCAUAGCACCUUAUGCAAAGUGAAUGCUCACUAUGGUUUUUAGCAAAAAAUGUGUGGAGAAUAAAGAGGAAUAAUAGCCAA